CGGACGGGUGAGUAACGCGUGGAAAACCUGCCGUAUACUGGGGGAUAACACUUAGAAAUAGGUGCUAAUACCGCAUAAGCGCACAGCUUCGCAUGAAGUGGUGUGAAAAACUCUGGUGGUAUACGAUGGUUCCGCGUCUGAUUAGCUUGUUGGUGGGGUAAUGGCUCACCAAGGCAACGAUCAGUAGCCGGCCUGAGAGGGUGAACGGCCACAUUGGGACUGAGACACGGCCCAAACUCCUACGGAAGGCAGCAG
This 255-nucleotide ribosomal RNA is filed under the name uncultured bacterium. RNAcentral describes it as "partial 16S ribosomal RNA". It matches the Rfam family "Bacterial small subunit ribosomal RNA", at positions 99 to 354 of the family's 1533-position model. The record is from RNAcentral.